UGACCGCGCUCCCGGCGGACGGAGGGGGACAAGUGACCGCGCUCCCGGCGGACGGAGGGGGACAAGUGACCGCGCUCCCGGCGGACGGAGGGGGCAGUGACCGCGCUCCCGGCGGACGGAGGGGGACAAGUGACCGCGCUCCCGGCGGACGGAGGGGGACAAGUGACCGCGCUCCCGGGGGACGGAGGGGGCAGUGACCGCGCUCCCGGGGGACGGAGGGGGACAAGUGACCGCGCUCCCGGGGGACGGAGGGGGCAGUGACCGCGCUCCCGGGGGACGGAGGGGGACAAGUCACCGCGCUCCCGGGGGACGGAGGGGGCAGUGACCGCGCUCCCGGCGGACGGAGGGGGACAAGUCACCGCGCUCCCGGGGGACGGAGGGGGCAGUGACCGCGCUCCCGGGGGACGGAGGGGGCAGUGACCGCGCUCCCGGGGGACGGAGGGGGCAGUGACCGCGCUCCCGGGGGACGGAGGGGGCAGUGACCGCGCUCCCGGACUCCGAGGGAGCGGGGGGAGAGAGUGUCCGCUUUCCCAGGGCCACACAGGGUCUGGGAGGGACCCACUUUUUCUGGCAAAUAACCUGUGGGUGCACGCCCAUCACCUGGGGUAAUACGUAAAUGCGGUCUGAGUGCACCGGGGGCGGGGCCUGAGGUUGUGCCGAACAGGCACGGGGGUGAGGGUCCUGCCGGUGGGGCACCCCAGUCGAGACUAGGGUCUCAGGAUGCUCUGCGUACCCUCAGCUUGGAGAAACCUUUGAGAAUAUUCCAAGCAGUUUGGAUACUCGGAUAUGGCAGUGUGCGACUCACUGGUAACAGCUGUUCGCUCAAAACUGGUUGAGUGCAGGGCGUGGACCGCAUGCUCCUCCUUUAGCACCAGUGUGCCUGGGGAUGCUUUGCUUUUAACGUUAAAAAGGACUAAUGAGCAUCAUCAAU
RNAcentral lists this long non-coding RNA (931 nucleotides) under Zalophus californianus (California sea lion). RNAcentral's name for it is "lncRNA (ENSZCAG00015008432.1)". The record is from RNAcentral. Lineage: Eukaryota; Metazoa; Chordata; Mammalia; Carnivora; Otariidae.